AGUGAACGCUGGCGGUAGGCCUAACACAUGCAAGUCGAACGGCAGCACAGGAGAGCUUGCUCUCUGGGUGGCGAGAGGCGGACGGGUGGGGAAUACAUCGGAAUCUACUCUGUCGUGGGGGAUAACGUAGGGAAACUUACGCUAAUACCGCAUACGACCUACGGGUGAAAGCAGGGGACCUUCGGGCCUUGCGCGAUUGAAUGAGCCGAUGUCGGAUUAGCUAGUUGGCGGGGUAAAGGCCCACCAAGGCGACGAUCCGUAGCUGGUCUGAGAGGAUGAUCAGCCACACUGGAACUGAGACACGGUCCAGACUCCUACGGGAGGCAGCAGUGGGGAAUAUUGGACAAUGGGCGCAAGCCUGAUCCAGCCAUACCGCGUGGGUGAAGAAGGCCUUCGGGUUGUAAAGCCCUUUUGUUGGGAAAGAAAUCCAGCUGGCUAAUACCCGGUUGGGAUGACGGUACCCAAAGAAUAAGCACCGGCUAACUUCGUGCCAGCCGCCGCAGUAA
RNAcentral lists this ribosomal RNA (506 nucleotides) under uncultured bacterium. RNAcentral's name for it is "partial 16S ribosomal RNA". It matches the Rfam family "Bacterial small subunit ribosomal RNA", at positions 29 to 523 of the family's 1533-position model. The record is from RNAcentral.